Molecule: long non-coding RNA, 3445 nt
Filed under: Gallus gallus (chicken)
Lineage: Eukaryota; Metazoa; Chordata; Aves; Galliformes; Phasianidae
Description: lncRNA (ENSGALG00010004514.1)
Source: RNAcentral
UUUUUUUUUUUUCAGGCACAUUAAGAAAGUAAUUGCAGUGCUUGUAAGUGUUAACACAGAAGCAAAUUGGCUGGCAUAAGCCUGGUUUCAUAACUUAUCUGUAAAUACAAAAAAAAAAUGCUCUAAAUUUGAAUUUACAAGGAACAGAUGUCUUUCCGCAAGCUUGAGUGUAAAUUCAGCAGGAUUUCCAAUUUAAUCCAGGAUAUAAUGACACUGAAAUGUAUUGCAAACAGGAAUGACUUGUUUCUCCUGUAGCACUGCGGGCUGUGGACUGCAUGCUGUACAGAACAGCACAAGGUGUUGCACACCGCAGGUUUCCAGGGAGACAGUCACAAUCCAGUAGGGGUUACUGUUGUUCUUAAUAAAGCACUGUAGAUUUUGUGGUUUUAGCAAAUUUUCUGAUCAAAAUCACAGAUACCAGAUAGCAUUUGAUAAAUGACACCAAGUAACAUGAUUUAACCUAUUUCAAACAAGCACGUAUGAUGCUGCAGUGUGCGAGCUUACAGCAGAUGAUGAAGGGGUUUCCAACAGCUCAAAUUGCCAUUUUAACCACUAAGAAAAGACUUCAAAUGGAGUAUUAGAUGCUACAGACUGACCCUAUCACCUAGCAGUUGAUACAGCAGCCAAGGGAGGGUCUUUGAUAGAACUGCAAAACAGAGAAGUGUGGUAAAGCCAAAAGCCUUGUGUAGUAUCAGCUGUUUCUGCACACACAGGGAAAUGAUUUGGCAAUGGUAAUGAUGCUGAAGCAGAGGAAACCCUGUUUCUUUCAGAAGUUCCAAGUUAUUUAGGUUUAUUCAGAGUUUUAUUUUGUUGGAGCUGUAGCCAGCUACCACAUCAGCAUAUAACCUAGCUCAGUGGCAAAUACCAGUACUAAGAUGUGCUAUACAUUCCCUUUCCAUUACCACUGUGCUGCGCUCCAUGCCUCGCAGGCACACCUUGAGCAGUAGUUGUUCUCUCCUUCCCUCCCAAGGGGAGCGUGCACUGUCCAAGGGAUGGCCUCCACUGUAUGUUAUGGUGAGAAGCCACAGGCAAGUUCAAGCACCUUAUACUUAACACAGAAGGCUGAUUAGCUGUGUGAUAUUCCCUAAUUCCUGGAGGAAUAAGUUCCUUUGGAAAGCCUGCUGCUUUUUUGGAGAAUGUUUUUUCUCCUGUGCAAAAAGCCUUUUGUCUGCAUCAGGAGGAAGAGUUCAGUGAGACACAUUCUUCUCCUCUUUGAUUUAGUCCUAAGUGUUCAUCUUUCCAUAGGAAUAUAGCGGUCUUAAGGUUUUCUUUCGCAUUGAAAAACAGAAUAUAAGCUGCUCAUAAAUUUGAUGAGGCCCAUAGGAAAAUAGUUGUUUAGAAACAGUGAAAAAAUAUGGAAUGCUAAGCUUUGUACUGUGCUGGGCCAUACCCAGAGCUACCAUCUCCCACAGGCUGUGUGCCGCCCUCCUCCCACCAAAACCACUCUCCCUACCUGCCAAACCCUUAUCUCGGGUUGAAGGAGACAGGGAGUCUCUAGCUCAAAGCUGCCAGCCAGCCACUUCUCCCCUUGUGUUGGUGCUGCAGUGCCAUUGCACACAGAGGGCUUAUUCCCAACUGUGGUUGCAGCUUACCAGAGCACCUCACACUACCUAAGCCUGCCCUGUGAGCCAGUUGGUAUCUCAGCCACACAAGCUUAACACCUCCUGCCCACACAGUAUUUGAACCUCAGGACCAUUCCCAUGUCCUUCUGCAUCAGCUAAAAUUCAACAUGUGCUAAUCCAAGCUUUGCAGCCUCCUGAGGUGUACAAGGAGAGCAAGGGUAGACAAGAUGUGCAGGCAACUUCAUUACCUCGGGAACUGCUCUAACUUUCUUUAAAAUAAAAGGGGAAAACAUCCCCAUCCCACACCCUUUUGUUCUUCGUAUCUUCAUCUCAUAAGGACACAAGUUAAAUAAAACUCAUUUUAUACAUUUUCAAAUUUUAUACAGAAUCAUUAACGUGGAAAAGAUCUCUAAGACCACCUAAUCCAACCCCAACACCUACCAUGCCCACUAACAGCGUCCCUCAGCGCCACAUCCACGCGGUUCUUGAAUACCUCCAGGAUGGUGACUCCACUACCUCCCUGGGCAGCCCGUGCCACUGCCUCACCACUCUUUCUGAGAAUAUCAACACACUUGUGUGUGUAUAUACAUAUACACACACUUACAUGACACAUUUUAAAAUGUAUUUUUACUGGUUUUAUGUAUGUAUGAAAACACAUGCUUCCUAUCCUCAGGUGGGGCUGGACACGCAAUCCCUUUCCUGGGAGAAAAUAAUAUUUCAGUUUUAUGUUCAGGCUUCUGUGGUUUUUUUGUUGUUGUUGUUGUUUGUUUGUUUAGGAAAAGAAAUAAUAAAUCUUAAGCCUUAAAGCUCAUUAUUGCAGUAAAGUUUUGUAAUAACCGUUUCUGAGAACAGGAAUGGUAGCGCAGGUUCACAUGGCAACUUUUAGCAUCUAUUAUAUCUUGUGAGUAGCUUUAGAAUUCGUAACUUGUAAAACAGUCAGAGAGAAGCCUAUCCUGGAUGACUAGUUUAGCACAAAACACUCCCUUGCCUCCUCUUGGUUUUUAUUGCUUCUUCAGCACCGAGAUGCUGCCAAUAUUUUGACAUUUUUUUCCUCCUAAAAGUCUGCGUAGCUCUGUCUGACUGUGUGCCUUCAGAGAAAAAGAGCAAGGGAUUGGGAUAUUCUUGCAUUUUCUUGUCAAAACAAAGACAGGAUAAUUACCAGGAAACAAUACAAUUUGCCAGUAGGAGAGCAGGUAUGCCUGAUAGGAGUAUUUAUGCUUGGAGGAAGAGUAUCAGCAUGGAUACUGCUUUAUUUGGGCAUAGCAUUUUGUAACUGGAAAGCGUGAGUUUCAGUUUUCAAGUGUGACAGAGGAGCAAGGUACCCAUUUCCAAAGGUAUUUCAAGAUGCAGCAUUGCUCUCACCCUGUAUUACCCUGGUGCCGGGAGGUAGAGGAUAGGACUCUGCAUGAAACCAACGCUUUAGAGCUCUCUAGAGCCACCCAAGGCUGCCCCACAAAUAGUGUGGGUCAUCCUUCAUCUGGGGCCAGCACACUGGCUCUGUGAUGCCAGUGACCCCUUAUGGCCAGAAAUCCUGGCUUUGUAGCUAUCUUGGACAGCAAAUAGAGCAACUGUGGGGGCGGAUCAGGUCUCCAUCCUUAUUCUGAAAGGACAAAAAACGUCAGAUUCCUUACGGGGCCGGGGGCACUCCAGCAAGGAGAAUAGGAGCUUCAGAGAUAUCAUCCUGAACCCUGGGGGUAAAUCACACUUGGUAAAGAUCACUUCAGUUUGCUCAGGGAGGCAGAUCUCUAGCGAUAACAGGAAAAGCGUUCAUAAAGUUUUUUUUUUUUUUUUUAUUUUUUUAAAAAACAAGGCUGCUUUCUGUAAUCCCUUCAGCCCAUCAAUUGACAGUUUCUGGGUGGCACAAACUAAUGCAGUUUGCCUUU